Rattus norvegicus (Norway rat) is the source of this 110-nucleotide small nuclear RNA. The record is from Ensembl. NCBI's taxonomy places the organism in Eukaryota, Metazoa, Chordata, Mammalia, Rodentia, Muridae.
UUGCUUCAAUGGCAAAUGUAACAAGAUUGGAAGAAUAUAGAAAAGAUUAGCAUGACCCCUUUGCAAAGAUGACACAUGACACACACACACACACACACACACACAUUUAU